Molecule: ribosomal RNA, 465 nt
Filed under: uncultured Streptococcus sp.
Lineage: Bacteria; Bacillati; Bacillota; Bacilli; Lactobacillales; Streptococcaceae
Description: bacterial SSU rRNA
Rfam family: Bacterial small subunit ribosomal RNA
Source: RNAcentral
CCUACGGGAGGCAGCAGUAGGGAAUCUUCGGCAAUGGACGGAAGUCUGACCGAGCAACGCCGCGUGAGUGAAGAAGGUUUUCGGAUCGUAAAGCUCUGUUGUAAGAGAAGAACGAGUGUGAGAGUGGAAAGUUCACACUGUGACGGUAACUUACCAGAAAGGGACGGCUAACUACGUGCCAGCAGCCGCGGUAAUACGUAGGUCCCGAGCGUUAUCCGGAUUUAUUGGGCGUAAAGCGAGCGCAGGCGGUUAGAUAAGUCUGAAGUUAAAGGCUGUGGCUUAACCAUAGUACGCUUUGGAAACUGUUUAACUUGAGUGCAGAAGGGGAGAGUGGAAUUCCAUGUGUAGCGGUGAAAUGCGUAGAUAUAUGGAGGAACACCGGUGGCGAAAGCGGCUCUCUGGCUUGUAACUGACGCUGAGGCUCGAAAGCGUGGGGAGCAAACAGGAUUAGAUACCCCAGUAGUC